UUUCUUCUAUUCUUCUCUCUAUACGUUAGUGUUCUAACCAAUAAUCACCGAUGCGAUGUUCUGUCCGAUCGAUUCAGGAACCAUCUAAUAAAUGCCAAAGUGCUGUACUUUGUGAAUUUCGGUAAACGGAAUCCAAAGUGCUAUACUUUGUGAAUUUUGUUAAGGUUCGAAUCUCGUGACUACCGUUAAGGUUUGAUUUGGGUUUUACACAAAUACGUAUUCCAUUCUGUUAAACUAUAUGUUUAACCACCAGAAUACUCCCAACUACACACUUACAAUCAAACAAGCUGUUAAAUCAUCAGAAAAUUCAGAACAAUAAAGUAUACGCUUAAUUAUCAGAAGGAAUAGAAUCAAGAAGCUUGCUAAAUCAUGCUUAUACUGUAAUUACAGUAGAUCGGAAUAAGAGUUGGAUACGGCACCAAAAAGGCUUACAGAAGUGGCUUGAUUUAUCAAUUAAAUUAA
This 462-nucleotide long non-coding RNA is filed under the name Helianthus annuus (common sunflower). Its description in RNAcentral is "hypothetical non coding rna". Lineage: Eukaryota; Viridiplantae; Streptophyta; Magnoliopsida; Asterales; Asteraceae. The record is from RNAcentral.